GUCUAGAAAUUUGGGCAAUGGGCGAAAGCCUGACCCAGCGACACCGCGUGGAGGAUGAAGUCUUUCGGGAUGUAAACUCCUGACAGGCGGAGCGAUGCCGUUUCGGAGUAACUGCCGUAACGGUGACGGUACUGCCAAAGGAAGCCCCGGCUAACUACGUGCCAGCAGCCGCGGUAAUACGUAGGGGGCAAGCGCUGUCCGGAUUUACUGGGCGUAAAGGGUGUGCAGGCGGUCUGGCGUGUCGGUGGUGAAAGCCCUCGGCUUAACCGAGGAAGUGCUGCCGAAACUACCAGACUUGAGGACGGAAGAGGAAACUGGAACUUCUGGUGUAGCGGUAAAAUGCGUAGAUAUCAGAAGGAACGCCGAUAGCGAAGGCAGGUUUCUGGGACGUUCCUGACGCUGAAACACGAAAGCUAGGGGAGCAAACAGGAUUAGAUACCCGAGUAGUCC
RNAcentral lists this ribosomal RNA (450 nucleotides) under uncultured bacterium. Its description in RNAcentral is "bacterial SSU rRNA". It matches the Rfam family "Bacterial small subunit ribosomal RNA", at positions 354 to 796 of the family's 1533-position model. The record is from RNAcentral.